GAUGAAGAACGUAGCGAAAUGCGAUACGUAAUGUGAAUUGCAGAAUUCAGUGAAUCAUCGAGUCUUUGAACGCACAUUGCGCCCCCUGGUAUUCUGGGGGGCAUGCCUGUCCGAGCGUCAUUGCUGCCCUCAAGCACGGCUUGUGUGUUGGGCCUCCGUCCUCCUCCCGGGGGACGGGCCCGAAAGGCAGCGGCGGCACCGCGUCCGGUCCUCGAGCGUAUGGGGCUUCGUCACCCGCUCUUGUAGGCCCGGCCGGCGCUUGCCGACACAUCAAUCUUUUUUCCAGGUUGACCUCGGAUCAGGUAGGGAUACCCGCUGAACUUAAGCAUAUCAAUAAGCGGAGGA
RNAcentral lists this unclassified non-coding RNA (345 nucleotides) under soil metagenome. RNAcentral's name for it is "partial contains 5.8S ribosomal RNA, internal transcribed spacer 2, and large subunit ribosomal RNA". The stretch from base 1 to 120 matches the Rfam family "5.8S ribosomal RNA", at positions 35 to 154 of the family's 154-position model. The record is from RNAcentral.